Molecule: unclassified non-coding RNA, 410 nt
Filed under: Streptomyces fungicidicus
Lineage: Bacteria; Bacillati; Actinomycetota; Actinomycetes; Kitasatosporales; Streptomycetaceae
Description: partial contains 16S ribosomal RNA, 16S-23S ribosomal RNA intergenic spacer and 23S ribosomal RNA
Rfam family: Bacterial small subunit ribosomal RNA (bases 1-53)
Source: RNAcentral
UGAAGUCGUAACAAGGUAGCCGUACCGGAAGGUGCGGCUGGAUCACCUCCUUUCUAAGGAGCACUUCUUGACUGCCGGCCCUCGGGCUUGGUGGUCCAGAGGCCAGUUCAUCGGCGAACGUCUGAUGCUGGUUGCUCAUGGGUGGAACGUUGACUAUUCGGCACAUUCGGUCUGCUGGGACUGUGAGUACUGCUUCGGCGUGGAAAACAGUUCGAGGGGAUGGAAGGUGUCGGGCACGCUGUUGGGUGUCUGAGGGAGCGGCCACGAUGUGGUUGUUUCUUCGGUUGCCGGCCCCAGUGAACUCGGGAUGUAUGUCUCGGGGUGGUGGGUGGUUGGUCGUUGUUUGAGAACUGCACAGUGGACGCGAGCAUCUGUGGCCAAGUUUUUAAGGGCGCACGGUGGAUGCCUUG